This 319-nucleotide ribosomal RNA is filed under the name uncultured Comamonadaceae bacterium. RNAcentral's name for it is "bacterial SSU rRNA". It matches the Rfam family "Bacterial small subunit ribosomal RNA", at positions 30 to 341 of the family's 1533-position model. Lineage: Bacteria; Pseudomonadati; Pseudomonadota; Betaproteobacteria; Burkholderiales; Comamonadaceae. The record is from RNAcentral.
AUUGAACGCUGGCGGCAUGCCUUACACAUGCAAGUCGAACGGCAGCACGGGAGCAAUCCUGGUGGCGAGUGGCGAACGGGUGAGUAAUACAUCGGAACGUGCCCAAUCGUGGGGGAUAACGCAGCGAAAGCUGUGCUAAUACCGCAUACGAUCUACGGAUGAAAGCAGGGGAUCGCAAGACCUUGCGCGAAUGGAGCGGCCGAUGGCAGAUUAGGUAGUUGGUGAGGUAAAGGCUCACUAAGCCGUCGAUCUGUAGCUGGUCUGAGAGGACGACCAGCCACACUGGGACUGGAGACACUUUUUUUUUCUCCCAUCCCUA